RNAcentral lists this long non-coding RNA (1056 nucleotides) under Parus major (Great Tit). RNAcentral's name for it is "lncRNA (ENSPMJG00000006714.1)". The record is from RNAcentral. Lineage: Eukaryota; Metazoa; Chordata; Aves; Passeriformes; Paridae.
CUGAAGGGUGAGUAUCAGCAAAGUUUGAUUCCUCGGGUAAGCGCGAAACAACGCAGAAACAGAAACAGACUCACAGAGGAGUCGAAGACUGGUAAGAAAUCUUAUAUAUUUGCGAAAUCUGGGGCAGAAAAAGAGUAAGCUUCAAAAAAAAACACCACAGAGAAAAGCCCCUCCGAUCAGGGGGAGGGAUCACUAGACAUCCCACUGGAAAGCCCCUUGGGUUAGAUGUUAAAACACUGGGAAGAUUGUCCCCAGAGAAAGGGAAAAUCCAAGGCAAAAUUGAUACAUUACUGUAUGGAGGUUUGGGGAGGACAAGAAUUGAGAAGUCACCUCACUUGGCCAGUGUUAGGCACAUUCGAAAAAUGGACGUGUAAUAAAUUAUUCUCCUAUGUGGAGAACAAAGUCCCCUUGGAUCCCGAGGAGAAGGAAUAUGCUAAACUCUGGUUAAACGCCAGAGUAGGGCUAUUCCAAAUAAAACAAAAAGAAAAACGUGAGUCGAGAGCUGAAUCCUGGGAACCCCUUGACCACUUACCACCCCCGUAUCAUGGACCGGCUGGGCCUUCUGCAUUAGACCAAGUGGUGCCUUCAGCACCUUUGGGCUCCCAAGACCAACCCGCUGAGAUGCAUACAUCCCGAGCGGGAGACUCGGCGCCGGCAGCUAUGACAGCAGCCCAUCCCCUGUCCCCGCCUGCGAACACCAUAGCCACAGUAGAUUCUUUGGAGGUUUCUCCUGCGCAAGGCUGGGGAUCACUCUAUCCGUCCUUGCCAAUCCUGCCGCCACAACCGGGACCCUGCCCUAUAAUGGAGAGGAUCCCUCCCGUCAACCGGGUGGCGGCGGAGUUCCCACAAUUGAUAACGGGGAAACAACUCACAAUCACCAGCUCCCCUCCCGCAAGUAGAACCUGUUUGAGAGCGAGAAUGAUGGGUGAUGAGUGGGGAGAGAGUGAAGAAGGGCACCGGUUGUUCCCUCUUAGGGAAGUACCGACGGCCCCGGGAGUGAUCAGAUUUGUGAAUAUACCCCUUAACACCGGAGACGUAAGGGCAUUUAAGAAAGUG